This 116-nucleotide ribosomal RNA is filed under the name Klebsiella pneumoniae. Lineage: Bacteria; Pseudomonadati; Pseudomonadota; Gammaproteobacteria; Enterobacterales; Enterobacteriaceae. RNAcentral also lists the same sequence under 3 other names. The record is from RNAcentral.
CCUGGCGGCACUAGCGCGGUGGUCCCACCUGACCCCAUGCCGAACUCAGAAGUGAAACGCCGUAGCGCCGAUGGUAGUGUGGGGGCUCCCCAUGUGAGAGUAGGGAACUGCCAGGC